GCUGCGGCUCAGCUGAUAAUUGAAGGAACCCGGAGCCGCAGCCGCUGCCGCCGCUGGGGGGGUGGGGGGAGCUAGUGGAAGUUACUGCCGCGCCACCGAGUCCGGACCGGAGACUUUGGGGCCUAACUAGUGAAUGGUAGUGUCUAGAAAGGGUAUGUCCCUUCAAGAGAGAGGUGCCAAUGUCCAACCGGCCUAAUAACAAUCCAGGGGGGUCACUGCGACGUUCACAGAGGAACACUGCCGGGGCCCAACCACAAGACGACUCAAUAGGAGGAAGAAGCUGCAGUUCAUCAUCUGCUGUGAUAGUUCCACAACCAGAGGAUCCAGACAGAGCCAAUACUUCAGAAAGACAAAAAACGGGGCAGGUGCCUAAGAAAGACAAUUCUCGAGGAGUGAAGCGCAGUGCUAGUCCAGACUACAACAGGACCAAUUCUCCUAGCUCUGCAAAAAAACCAAAAGCACUUCAGCAUACUGAAUCUCCCUCAGAAACAAAUAAGCCACAUAGUAAGUCAAAGAAGAGACAUUUAGACCAGGAGCAACAACUGAAAUCUGCACAAUCACCAUCAACAAGCAAGGCUCAUACCAGAAAGAGUGGGGCCACUGGCGGUUCACGGAGUCAGAAAAGAAAAAGGACAGAGAGUUCUUGUGUAAAGAGUGGCUCCGGGUCUGAAUCAACUGGUGCAGAAGAGAGAUCUGCAAAACCUACCAAGCUGGCUUCAAAAUCAGCCACCUCAGCCAAAGCUGGGUGUAGCACCAUCACUGAUUCUUCUUCUGCUGCCUCUACUUCCUCCUCGUCUUCUGCUGUAGCCUCGGCCUCCUCCACUGUACCACCAGGUGCCAGAGUGAAACAAGGAAAAGAUCAGAACAAGGCCAGGCGUUCCCGUUCAGCAUCCAGUCCCAGCCCCAGAAGAAGCAGCAGGGAAAAGGAACAGAGUAAAACUGGUGGCUCUUCAAAAUUUGAUUGGGCUGCUCGUUUCAGCCCUAAAGUUAGCCUUCCUAAAACAAAACUGUCUCUUCCAGGGUCUUCUAAGUCAGAGACAUCAAAACCUGGACCUUCUGGAUUACAGGCCAAAUUAGCAAGUUUAAGAAAAUCUACGAAGAAACGCAGUGAGUCUCCACCUGCUGAGCUCCCCAGUUUGAGGCGGAGCACACGCCAAAAGACCACGGGCUCCUGUGCUAGUACCAGUCGGCGAGGCUCUGGCCUGGGCAAAAGAGGAGCAGCUGAAGCUCGUCGACAGGAGAAAAUGGCAGACCCUGAAAGCAACCAGGAGGCAGUAAAUUCUUCAGCUGCUCGGACAGAUGAAGCUCCCCAAGGAGCUGCAGCCUCUAGUUCUGUUGCAGGGGCUGUUGGCAUGACCACCUCUGGGGAGAGUGAAUCAGAUGAUUCUGAGAUGGGACGUUUGCAAGCUUUGUUAGAGGCAAGGGGUCUUCCCCCUCACCUAUUUGGUCCUCUUGGUCCUCGGAUGUCACAGCUUUUCCAUAGAACAAUUGGAAGUGGAGCUAGUUCUAAGGCCCAGCAGCUACUACAAGGAUUGCAAGCCAGUGAUGAAAGUCAACAGCUUCAGGCAGUUAUUGAGAUGUGUCAGUUACUGGUCAUGGGAAAUGAGGAGACACUGGGAGGGUUUCCUGUCAAGAGUGUUGUUCCAGCUUUGAUUACGUUACUUCAGAUGGAGCACAAUUUUGAUAUUGUAAGUAUGUAUUGUAUUUUUUUAAAUGGUGUAUAUUUAAGUUUUGAGUUUUUACUCAUUAAAAUCUCUUCUUUUCUAGAUGAACCAUGCUUGUCGAGCCUUAACAUACAUGAUGGAAGCACUUCCUCGAUCUUCUGCUGUUGUAGUAGAUGCUAUUCCUGUCUUUUUAGAAAAGCUGCAAGUUAUUCAGUGUAUUGAUGUGGCAGAACAGGCGUUGACUGCCUUGGAGAUGUUGUCACGGAGACACAGUAAAGCCAUUCUACAGGCGGGUGGUUUGGCAGACUGCUUGCUGUACCUAGAAUUCUUCAGCAUAAAUGCCCAAAGAAAUGCAUUAGCAAUUGCAGCCAAUUGCUGCCAGAGUAUCACGCCAGAUGAAUUUCAUUUUGUGGCAGAUUCCCUCCCAUUGCUAACCCAAAGGCUAACACAUCAGGAUAAAAAGUCAGUAGAAAGCACUUGCCUUUGUUUUGCACGCCUAGUGGACAACUUCCAGCAUGAGGAGAAUUUACUCCAGCAGGUUGCUUCCAAAGAUCUGCUUACAAAUGUUCAACAGCUGUUGGUAGUGACUCCACCCAUUUUAAGUUCUGGGAUGUUUAUAAUGGUGGUUCGCAUGUUUUCUCUGAUGUGUUCCAACUGUCCAACUUUAGCUGUUCAACUUAUGAAACAAAACAUUGCAGAAACACUUCACUUUCUCCUGUGUGGUGCCUCCAAUGGAAGUUGUCAGGAACAGAUUGAUCUUGUUCCACGAAGCCCUCAAGAACUGUAUGAACUGACAUCUCUGAUUUGUGAACUUAUGCCAUGUUUACCAAAAGAAGGCAUUUUUGCAGUUGAUACCAUGUUGAAGAAGGGAAAUGCACAGAACACAGAUGGUGCGAUAUGGCAGUGGCGUGAUGAUCGGGGCCUCUGGCAUCCAUAUAACAGGAUUGACAGCCGGAUCAUUGAGGUAGUAGUUUCAUCGUACCGUUUAAAUAUGUCUAUUUUGUUGGAGAGUGGGUGUAGGGAUGGAGUGGGGAGGUGGAUAUGUGGACUUGAAUGUGCUUGAUUUUGAAUUAACUCAAGAUUCUCUCAUUUUGUCUCCUGAGAACAAGGUCCUCAUUUCUGUUCAGGUCAGAAAACUUCAUGUUCUAGUCCUGCUUCUGCUGCUAACUACCUGAUUGACUUGGAGCAAGUAAUUUAAGUUUGUUGUUCCAUAGUUUCCUCAUUUCUGAAAGGAAACGUUGGAAGACUUAGGCUGUAGGUUUCUAAAAUUUAUCUAUCUUCUAUCAGAAAGCAAUGUCCCAUGAGCAAAGAUUUACAUACAAAUAGUUUCCUCUCAAUAUUUUUUAAGAGCAA
RNAcentral lists this small RNA (3017 nucleotides) under Pongo abelii (Sumatran orangutan). Its description in RNAcentral is "retained intron". The record is from RNAcentral. Lineage: Eukaryota; Metazoa; Chordata; Mammalia; Primates; Hominidae.